UACGAAGGGGGCUAGCGUUGCUCGGAUUGACUGGGCGUAAAGGGCGCGUAGGCGGAUAGUACAGUCAGGCGUGAAAUUCCUGGGCUCAACCUGGGGGCUGCGUUUGAUACGUAUUGUCUGGAGUUCGGAAGAGGGUCGUGGAAUUCCCAGUGUAGAGGUGAAAUUCGUAGAUAUUGGGAAGAACACCGGUGGCGAAGGCGGCGACCUGGUCCGAUACUGACGCUGAGGCGCGAAAGCGUGGGGAGCGAACAGG
This 253-nucleotide ribosomal RNA is filed under the name uncultured bacterium. Its description in RNAcentral is "partial 16S ribosomal RNA". It matches the Rfam family "Bacterial small subunit ribosomal RNA", at positions 524 to 776 of the family's 1533-position model. The record is from RNAcentral.